AUACGGAGGGUGCAAGCGUUACUCGGAAUCACUGGGCGUAAAGCGCAUGCAGGCGGUCUAAUAAGUUGGAAGUGAAAGCCUAUGGCUCAACCAUAGAACUGCUUCCAAAACUGUUAGGCUCGAGUCUGGGAGGGGAAGAUGGAAUUAGUAGUGUAGGGGUAAAAUCCGUAGAGAUUACUAGGAAUACCAAAAGCGAAGGCGAUCUUCUGGAACAGUACUGACGCUGAGAUGCGAAAGCGUGGGGAGCAAACAGGAUUAGAAACCCUAGUAGUCC
RNAcentral lists this ribosomal RNA (274 nucleotides) under uncultured bacterium. RNAcentral's name for it is "partial 16S ribosomal RNA". It matches the Rfam family "Bacterial small subunit ribosomal RNA", at positions 523 to 796 of the family's 1533-position model. The record is from RNAcentral.